This 691-nucleotide ribosomal RNA is filed under the name uncultured bacterium. RNAcentral describes it as "bacterial SSU rRNA". It matches the Rfam family "Bacterial small subunit ribosomal RNA", at positions 8 to 694 of the family's 1533-position model. The record is from RNAcentral.
AGAGUUUGAUCCUGGCUCAGAUUGAACGCUGGCGGCAGGCCUAACACAUGCAAGUCGAGCGGAUGAAGGGAGCUUGCUCCCUGAUUUAGCGGCGGACGGGUGAGUAAUGCCUAGGAAUCUGCCUGGUAGUGGGGGAUAACGUUCCGAAAGGAACGCUAAUACCGCAUACGUCCUACGGGAGAAAGCAGGGGACCUUCGGGCCUUGCGCUAUCAGAUGAGCCUAGGUCGGAUUAGCUAGUUGGUGAGGUAAUGGCUCACCAAGGCGACGAUCCGUAACUGGUCUGAGAGGAUGAUCAGUCACACUGGAACUGAGACACGGUCCAGACUCCUACGGGAGGCAGCAGUGGGGAAUAUUGGACAAUGGGCGAAAGCCUGAUCCAGCCAUGCCGCGUGUGUGAAGAAGGUCUUCGGAUUGUAAAGCACUUUAAGUUGGGAGGAAGGGCAUUAACCUAAUACGUUAGUGUUUUGACGUUACCGACAGAAUAAGCACCGGCUAACUUCGUGCCAGCAGCCGCGGUAAUACGAAGGGUGCAAGCGUUAAUCGGAAUUACUGGGCGUAAAGCGCGCGUAGGUGGUUCGUUAAGUUGGAUGUGAAAGCCCCGGGCUCAACCUGGGAACUGCAUCCAAAACUGGCGAGCUAGAGUACGGUAGAGGGUGGUGGAAUUUCCUGUGUAGCGGUGAAAUGCGUAGA